This 281-nucleotide unclassified non-coding RNA is filed under the name Hevea brasiliensis (rubber tree). Lineage: Eukaryota; Viridiplantae; Streptophyta; Magnoliopsida; Malpighiales; Euphorbiaceae. The record is from RNAcentral.
AAUGAAAUGUCUGAUCAUUCAAAAAGUCAAAGUUAAACAAAGGAGUUCAUCCAUCACAAUACUGACUACAAUACAUGUACAAAUGCUCGACACCAAAAAGUGCAUCUUAAAGCUUGACUACUUGACACCAGAAGAUUGAAUCAGAAAAUCCUUGAGUGUUUUAACAUUUUUUUAGUCUCAUUCAAUGCAUCACCAAAAUAUUUAUGCUUUCUGCAGGGACAUGACCAAAAAUGCAAUCAUGGUUACAAAGAAUUGUUAUUUUAGACAGACCUACAUGAGGA